This 249-nucleotide long non-coding RNA is filed under the name Coturnix japonica (Japanese quail). Its description in RNAcentral is "lncRNA (ENSCJPG00005007587.1)". The record is from RNAcentral. Lineage: Eukaryota; Metazoa; Chordata; Aves; Galliformes; Phasianidae.
CAUCUUGGUCAAAUGAAAGCCAUAAGGAAGAUAAGUUAAUCACAGCUAUGACUGUAAGCUUUCAGCUGCCUUCAGACAGAAUGAUGAAUGCAAAAUAGGAUUAGUAUUCCUAGGAGGUAACGUUAUACAUAGUUGCACAUUAUAGAAAAAUACCAGCAGAACUGUACAGAGGACGUACUCUGGAAGCCAUGCACCUCAUCUGUACAGCACAUUGACAAAGACCUACCUCAAAGACUGAUGCUGCUUGAA